This 465-nucleotide ribosomal RNA is filed under the name uncultured Klebsiella sp. Its description in RNAcentral is "bacterial SSU rRNA". It matches the Rfam family "Bacterial small subunit ribosomal RNA", at positions 338 to 795 of the family's 1533-position model. The record is from RNAcentral. Lineage: Bacteria; Pseudomonadati; Pseudomonadota; Gammaproteobacteria; Enterobacterales; Enterobacteriaceae.
CCUACGGGUGGCUGCAGUGGGGAAUAUUGCGCAAUGGGCGCAAGCCUGAUGCAGCCAUGCCGCGUGUGUGAAGAAGGCCUUCGGGUUGUAAAGCACUUUCAGCGGGGAGGAAGGCGGUGAGGUUAAUAACCUCAUCGAUUGACGUUACCCGCAGAAGAAGCACCGGCUAACUCCGUGCCAGCAGCCGCGGUAAUACGGAGGGUGCAAGCGUUAAUCGGAAUUACUGGGCGUAAAGCGCACGCAGGCGGUCUGUCAAGUCGGAUGUGAAAUCCCCGGGCUCAACCUGGGAACUGCAUUCGAAACUGGCAGGCUAGAGUCUUGUAGAGGGGGGUAGAAUUCCAGGUGUAGCGGUGAAAUGCGUAGAGAUCUGGAGGAAUACCGGUGGCGAAGGCGGCCCCCUGGACAAAGACUGACGCUCAGGUGCGAAAGCGUGGGGAGCAAACAGGAUUAGAUACCCGUGUAGUC